RNAcentral lists this ribosomal RNA (323 nucleotides) under uncultured eukaryote. RNAcentral describes it as "partial 18S ribosomal RNA". It matches the Rfam family "Eukaryotic small subunit ribosomal RNA", at positions 1470 to 1796 of the family's 1831-position model. The record is from RNAcentral.
CCCUUAGAUGUUCUGGGCCGCACGCGCGCUACACUGACGAAGUCAGCGAGCAUCUCCUACGCCGAAAGGUGCGGGGAAUCUUGUGAAACUUUGUCGUGCUGGGGAUUGAUUUUUGAAAUUCUUGAUCAUCAACGAGGAAUUCCUAGUAAGCGCAAGUCAGCAGCUUGCGUUGAUUACGUCCCUGCCCUUUGUACACACCGCCCGUCGCUCCUACCGAUCGAAGAGUUAGGUGAAUUGUUUUGAUCGAUAAGAUUUGACUAUGGUCAACUCUCGUUGUGAAAUUCUGUGAAUCUGACUGUUUAGAGGAAGGAAAAGUCGUAACA